Molecule: long non-coding RNA, 1543 nt
Organism: Bombyx mori (domestic silkworm)
Lineage: Eukaryota; Metazoa; Arthropoda; Insecta; Lepidoptera; Bombycidae
Exons: 2
Source: RefSeq, a predicted model, not a curated record
UUUUCUUUAAUUGAGGCCGUCAGCACAGAAGUGGUCUAAGCUUACCACAGAUAUGAUGGAGCAAUGAGGUUUAAGUUUUCAUAAAAUAUUUUUUACAUCGCGUGCCCUGCGAAAACUAUUGAUGAUAGAAUAAAAUAAUGUAUUACGACUUUGUAGAACACAUUAUUAUUUAUAAAAAAUGUCGUGACAGCAUAUGUCUAACUAUUAUAGUUAUGCCGCAAUAAGUGUUCUUUUAUUUAAAAAAUAAAUAAACGUCAGCUAUCAUUGAAAUUUUUGUUGACCCGAGCGGAGCCGGAGCGGGCUGCUAGUUUUAAAUAAAUUGCAAUAUACAUAAUUAUAAGCAUGAAAUGAAAAAUUGUGGGUUAGGCCACUUCUGUGUUGACGGCCUCAAUUAACCUUGAAAUGUGACCCCGGAGUCAGUACUAUCGAUCACCCAGCACACCUCACGUAGCGAUUCGUAUCUUUCGCAAUGAAAGUCCCUCUGCGAUUCUUUCGCAGCUGUAUUAUCGCAGGGGUAUCCUUAAGUGAUUAUUUUUUUCCUUCAGACGAUGAGACCGUUCAAGUUCUUCGUACGCCGGGAGGAGCUCAAUUAAUGAUAUACAAAGACUACAGUUACUCGCAUCACAGCCACAACAAAACCUGUAGAGUAAUGAAGUGCUCGAAACAGAAGCGAAUGAACUGUAAAGCUAGACUCAAAGUGAACGAAGGAGGAAUAACAUACGUUAUGUUCGAAGACCAUGCGGAGCUCAAAUAAUGUUAUACAAAGACUACAGUUACUCGUUCCAGAGCAACAACAAAACCUGUAGAGUACUGAAAUGCUCGAGACAAUCUCGAGGGAAUUGCAAAGCGAGACUCAAAGUGAACAAAGAUGGAACAGUUGAGUUAAUCCAUUCCCACAAUCAUGAGCCAUGUCAAUACACAAUAACAAACAGCGGAGUGUAUAUAAAGCAUUAGAGUGAAUUGCACAAUUGCAUUUUGGUCGGAAAGUCGUCAUAGUUCUACGGGGUAUAAUAAACACGAAUGCAGAUUGGACACGUUUGGUUUAUUUGAUGUAUGUUCCGUAUGUUCCAUGGGGAGUGCUCUGAGGAAUUGUUCGAGAUGAUACCGGCAUCUCGUUUUUACCAUCGCACCGCCCGCCACCGGAGUAGAGUUCAUCCAUACUACCUGGAGCCACUGCGGUCAUCCACAGUGCGUUUCCAGAGUUUUUUUUUGCCACGUACCAUCCGGCUAUGGAAUGAGCUCCCCUCCACGGUGUUUCUCGAGCGCUAUGACAUGUCCUUCUUCAAACGAGGCUUGUGGAGAGUAUUAAGCGGUAGGCAGCGGCUUGGCUCUGCCCCUGGCAUUGCUGAAGUCCAUGGGCGACGGUAACCACUCACCAUCAGGUGGGCAGUAUGCUCGUCUGCCUAUAAGGGCAAAUUCGGUUUUUUUUAAUAGAUUUACAACGUUUUGUGUUGUGAUGUUGCUUAUACUGAAUGUAUUCAAUUCCGUAGUUGUCACGCGAAGUGAAAUUGUCUUAAAUAUAUAAUUUUGAAAAGAUUUAAAA